Molecule: transfer RNA, 75 nt
Filed under: Candidatus Altimarinota bacterium
Lineage: Bacteria; Candidatus Altimarinota
Description: tRNA-Arg
Rfam family: tRNA
About the family: Transfer RNA (tRNA) molecules are approximately 80 nucleotides in length.
Source: RNAcentral
GCCCAAGUAGCUCAGUGGAAGAGCAGUGGCCUUCUAAGCCAAAGGUCGUAGGUUCGAUCCCUGCCUUGGGUACCA